GCGGGCGUUGCAUAGUGGUAGUGCUUCUGCCUUCCAAGCAGACAGCGCGGGUUCGAUUCCCGCCGCCCGCUCCA
This 74-nucleotide transfer RNA is filed under the name bacterium. RNAcentral's name for it is "tRNA-Gly". It matches the Rfam family "tRNA". From Rfam's summary of the family: Transfer RNA (tRNA) molecules are approximately 80 nucleotides in length. Their secondary structure includes four short double-helical elements and three loops (D, anti-codon, and T loops). RNAcentral also lists the same sequence under 7 other names. The record is from RNAcentral.